GAGUUUGAUCCUGGCUCAGAUUGAACGCUGGCGGCAGGCCUAACACAUGCAAGUCGAACGGUAACAGAAAGCAGCUUGCUGCUUUGCUGACGAGUGGCGGACGGGUGAGUAAUGUCUGGGAAACUGCCUGAUGGAGGGGGAUAACUACUGGAAACGGUAGCUAAUACCGCAUAACGUCGCAAGACCAAAGAGGGGGACCUUCGGGCCUCUUGCCAUCGGAUGUGCCCAGAUGGGAUUAGCUUGUUGGUGGGGUAACGGCUCACCAAGGCGACGAUCUCUAGCUGGUCUGAGAGGAUGACCAGCCACACUGGAACUGAGACACGGUCCAGACUCCUACGGGAGGCAGCAGUGGGGAAUAUUGCACAAUGGGCGCAAGCCUGAUGCAGCCAUGCCGCGUGUAUGAAGAAGGCCUUCGGGUUGUAAAGUACUUUCAGCGGGGAGGAAGGGAGUAAAGUUAAUACCUUUGCUCAUUGACGUUACCCGCAGAAGAAGCACCGGCUAACU
This 504-nucleotide ribosomal RNA is filed under the name uncultured bacterium. Its description in RNAcentral is "bacterial SSU rRNA". It matches the Rfam family "Bacterial small subunit ribosomal RNA", at positions 9 to 502 of the family's 1533-position model. The record is from RNAcentral.